RNAcentral lists this ribosomal RNA (433 nucleotides) under uncultured bacterium. Its description in RNAcentral is "partial 16S ribosomal RNA". It matches the Rfam family "Bacterial small subunit ribosomal RNA", at positions 29 to 507 of the family's 1533-position model. The record is from RNAcentral.
AGCGAACGCUGGCGGCAGGCCUAACACAUGCAAGUCGAACGAACUCUUCGGAGUUAGUGGCGGACGGGUGAGUAACACGUGGGAACGUGCCUUUUGGUUCGGAAUAACUCAGGGAAACUUGUGCUAAUACCGAAUGUGCCCUUCGGGGGAAAGAUUUAUCGCCAUUAGAGCGGCCCGCGUCGGAUUCGCUAGUUGGGGAGGUAACGGCUCACCAAGGCGACGAUCAGUAGCUGGUCUGAGAGGAUGACCAGCCACACUGGGACUGAGACACGGCCCAGACUCCUACGGGAGGCAGCAGUGGGUAAUCUUGCGCAAUGGGGGAAAGCCUGACGCAGCCAUGCCGCGUGAAUGAUGUAGGUCUUAGGAUUGUAAAAUUCUUUCAACGGGGAAGAUAAUGACGGUACCCGGAGAAGAAGCCCCGGCUAACUUCGUG